Molecule: long non-coding RNA, 2689 nt
Organism: Rhinopithecus roxellana (golden snub-nosed monkey)
Lineage: Eukaryota; Metazoa; Chordata; Mammalia; Primates; Cercopithecidae
Exons: 2
Source: RefSeq, a predicted model, not a curated record
AGGAGGCUGAGGCAGGAGAAUCACUUGAACCCAGAAGGCAGAGAUUAUAGUGAGCUGAGAUCACGCCACUGCAUUCCAGCCUGGGCGACAGAGUGAGACUUGGUCUCAAAAAAAAAAAAAAAAAAAAAAAAAGUCUAUGCCCAGAGAAAAUAUCUUUGAAAUAAAAAAGCAGCAUACUUUUUCAGACAAGAGCUGAAAGGAUUCAUCAGUAGAUGUGUAGUACAAGAAAUGUUAAAGGAAGUUAAGUAAGGCAGGUAGAAAUACACUAGGGACCAGCAACCCAUGGUCUGCAAGCUGCUAUUUCACUGCCUGCAGGCUAAGAAAGUUUUUGUUUUUCCCCUUUUUUCAAGGGUUAUAAAAGAAAACCAAAAAUAACUCCUGACAUUGCCCACUGUUUCUUUUGUGGGGGGAGGGAGGAAAGGGGCAGGGGACAUAAAACUGCCUUCAGUUGAGAACCACUGGCUAUAUAUGCAUCCCAGUUAAAAACUAGAGGUUGUUGCAUUGAAUAAAACAAGAUCCAAUUUUAUGCCUCUUAUAAGGCACACACUUUAAACGUAAAGACCCAAAUAGGUUAAAAGGAUGAAAAAACAUACCGUGGUAAUACCAAUUAAAGCUGGAAUGUCUGUAUUAUUAGACAAAGCAGAUUCUAGAGCAAAGAAUAUUGCCAAGGAUGAAGAAUGCAAAACGGAGCAACCACUGGAAAACACUUUGACAGUUUCUUGUAAAGUUAAACAUGCAUCUAUCAUACAUGUGAUCUAGCCAUUCUACCUCUAGGUAUUUACCCAAGAGAAAAUGAAAUAUUUGUUCAUGCAAAGACAAAUGUCCAUUGUAGCUCUAUUUGUAAUGACCAAAAUUUAGAAACAACCAAAGUGCCUAUCAAGUGAAUAAACUGGAAUACACUGGAACACAUAUGAGAAUACUACUCAGCAAUGAAAAGGAAUGAACUGUUGAUACGCAUGUGCAAUUCAUUUCAAGUACAUUUCCAUAAAGCUUGUAUAAGUUUGAGUCAGGAAGUGAGAUAUGACAAUACAGUAGCUCUGAUUUUAUUUCAAAAUUUCUAUAAUAAUGUCCUUUUCCAUAUGUUGCAAAAUUUUGGGAGCAUGUAGUGCCUAGGGUGAUUACUGCCUUUAACAAUAAUGUCUUGGAACCCUUGGAUAAGUUGGAAUGUUGAAAUCCCUGUAAUUAUAAAUAUAGUUCAUAAAAAAUGCUGAAAAUAUCAGUAAAAUAUGUGGUAUUAUUACUUAGAUAUUGUCUUCGGAAAUGUUUGCCAAAUAGUAAUUGCUUUUCAAUAAGAAAACAAGUACUGAACAAGGAGUAUUGAGUAUUUAAUAAAAAUAACUUUUCAUAAUGUAAAAUCAGCAGACUGGAUGCCAGAGUUUUGUUACAUUUUCUGUGGGCUGAUGAUCAUUGAAGCCAGGUAUUGGGUAAAAGGGGAGUAUUUAUUAUCAUUCUUUCUACUUUUAUGUUUGUUUGAAAUUUUUUAUCAUAAAGCUUUUUUUUUUUUUUUUUUUUUUGAGAUAAGGUCUCUGUUGCCCAGGCUGGAAUGCAGUAGCACAACAUUUAAAAAAAUUUAUAUUAUCUAGCAAUAGAUAUUCUAUUCCUGAAAAUACAUUUCUGUUGUCUGAUAUAUAAUGACAUUCUGUUAACAAAACACUGCAUAUAUGAUGGUGGUCCCAUGAAGUAAUACUGUAUUUUUACUGUACCUUUCCUAGUUUUGAAUACAUUUCGAUACAGAAAUACUUAACCAUCGUGUUACAAUUGCCUACAGUAAAGUGACAUGCUGUACUGGUUUGUAGCCCAGGAGCAAGAGGCUAUAUACAUAGCCAAAGUAUGUAGUAGGCUAUACCAUCUGGGUUUGUGUAAGUAUGCUUAGAUGUUUGGGCAGUGACAAUCGCCUAAUGACACAUUUCUCAAAAUGUAUCCCUGUUGUUAAGUAACAAAUACUUAACUGUAUAUCUAAUUCAGUUGUGUCUGAGGUUAUAUUUAAACAACAUGGUGUAUCCUGUACUAACGGAUCUUUCUCUACAAGUGUUAUGCAGCUUAUUUUCUUUUUUUUUUUUUUUUUGAGACGGAGUCUCGCUCUGCUGCCCAGGCUGGAGUGCAGUGGCCGGAUCUCAGCUGACUGCAAAUGCAGCUUAUUUUCAAUGAGGUGGAUUAUGAAGUCUGUACAGACUUAUAGUAAAUAUUGCUUCCAAAUGUUCUGCAGUGGUAAAAAAGAUGGAGUUUUGCUGUUGUUGCCCAGGCUGGAGUGCAAUGGCAUGAUCUUGACUCACCGCAACCUCUACCUCCUGAGUUCAAGCGAUUCUCCUGCCACAACCUCCCUAGUAGCUGGGAUUACAGGUGCCCGCCACCAUGCCUGGCUAAUUUUGUAUUUUUAGUAGAGAUGGGGUUUCUCCAUGUUGGUCAGGCUAGUCUUGAACUCCCGACCUCAGGUGAUCUGCCCACCUUGGCCUCCCAAAGUGCUGGGAUUAUAGGCGUGAUAAAUUGACCAUCUUAUACCAGGAAAUCAAAUGAGUAGACAUCAGUAAAAAUAUUCUGGCCAACUCAUGUUUUAUUUAUCAUAUCCUCUUCAUUAAUUGCUUCUCAUAAUGCCACAGUUUGUCAUGGUAUUUGUGGCAGCAGGCAAAGUCCUUGCUUAGACUUUGAUUAAAUUGCUGUGGCAUUUUUCUAUUAAAAAGAUAUCCUGGUU